AAGGAUCAUUACAGUAUGAUUAGAGGGGUUUGAUGCUGGCUUUUAACUAGGCAUGUGCGCACCCUUCGACUUCAAUCCACAUACACCUGUGCACCUUUGGCGAGUCAGUCUCCCAGCUGCAAAGUUGCGUCCUUGUGAAUUUAUUCACUUGGAAUUGGGGCUGCUUGUCAUAUCACAUACAUUAAUACCAGUUUAUAACGCAUGUUUAUUUGCUCUACGGAGCUUUAAUAAAAUACAACUUUCAACAACGGAUCUCUUGGCUUUC
Molecule: unclassified non-coding RNA, 265 nt
Filed under: uncultured fungus
Lineage: Eukaryota; Fungi
Description: partial contains 18S rRNA, ITS1, 5.8S rRNA, ITS2 and 28S rRNA
Source: RNAcentral